This 405-nucleotide ribosomal RNA is filed under the name uncultured bacterium. RNAcentral describes it as "partial 16S ribosomal RNA". It matches the Rfam family "Bacterial small subunit ribosomal RNA", at positions 28 to 526 of the family's 1533-position model. The record is from RNAcentral.
GAUGAACGCUGACGGCGUGCCUAAUACAUGCAAGUCGAGCGAAGCGGGAACGGGUGAGUAACACGUGGCUAACAUCCUAUAAGACUGGGAUAACUUCGGGAAACCGGAGCUAAACCGGAUACUUAUCGAUGGAUCAGCGCUGCAUUAGCUAGUUGGUAAGGGAACGGUGUACAAAGGCAAGUAUGCAUAGCAGACCUGCGAGGGUGAUCGCCCAAUCUGGAACGGAGACCGGGUCCAGACUCCUACGGUAGGCCGCAGUAGGGAAUAUGACGCAAUGGGCGAAAGCCUGACGGAGCAACGCCGCGUGAGUUAUGAAGGUCGUCGGAUCGUAAAACUCUGUUAUUAGGGAAGCGGUACCUAAUCAGAAAGCCACGGCUAACUACGUGCCAGCAGCCGCGGUAAGUC